RNAcentral lists this ribosomal RNA (642 nucleotides) under uncultured archaeon. RNAcentral's name for it is "bacterial SSU rRNA". It matches the Rfam family "Archaeal small subunit ribosomal RNA", at positions 96 to 735 of the family's 1478-position model. The record is from RNAcentral.
ACACGUGGAUAACCUGCCCUUUGGACCGGCAUAACCCCGGGAAACUGGGGAUAAUUCCGGAUAACGCAUAUGUGCUGGAAUGCUUUAUGCGUCAAAUGGAUUCGUCCGCCCAAGGAUGGGUCUGCGGCCUAUCAGGUAGUAGUGGGUGUAAUGUACCUACUAGCCGACAACGGGUACGGGUUGUGAGAGCAAGAGCCCGGAGAUGGAUUCUGAGACAUGAAUCCAGGCCCUACGGGGCGCAGCAGGCGCGAAAACUUUACAAUGCGGGAAACCGUGAUAAGGGGACACCGAGUGUCAGCAUCAUAUGCUGGCUGUCCAGGUGUGUAAAAUACACCUGUUAGCAAGGGCCGGGCAAGACCGGUGCCAGCCGCCGCGGUAACACCGGCGGCCCGAGUGGUGAUCGUGAUUAUUGGGUCUAAAGGGUCCGUAGCCGGUUUGGUCAGUCCUCCGGGAAAUCUGAUAGCUCAACUAUUAGGCUAUCGGGGGAUACUACCAGACUUGGAACCGGGAGAGGUAAGAGGUACUACAGGGGUAGGAGUGAAAUCUUGUAAUCCCCUGUGGGACCACCUGUGGCGAAGGCGUCUUACCAGAACGGGUUCGACGGUGAGGGACGAAAGCUGGGGGCACGAACCGGAUUAGAUA